CAAGCGUUACUCGGAAUUACUGGGCGUAAAGCGUGCGUAGGUGGUUUGUUAAGUCUGCUGUGAAAGCCCCGGGCUCAACCUGGGAAUGGCAGUGGAUACUGGCAAGCUAGAGUGCGGUAGAGGGUAGUGGAAUUCCCGGUGUAGCGGUGAAAUGCGUAGAGAUCGGGAGGAACACCAGUGGCGAAGGCGGCUACCUGGACCAGCACUGACACUGAGGCACGAAAGCGUGGGGAGCAAACAGG
Molecule: ribosomal RNA, 242 nt
Filed under: uncultured bacterium
Lineage: Bacteria
Description: partial 16S ribosomal RNA
Rfam family: Bacterial small subunit ribosomal RNA
Source: RNAcentral